RNAcentral lists this non-coding RNA (209 nucleotides) under Holdemanella biformis. Its description in RNAcentral is "Eubacterium biforme T-box sequence". It matches the Rfam family "T-box leader". Rfam says of the family: Uncharged tRNA acts as the effector for transcription antitermination of genes in the T-box leader family. Lineage: Bacteria; Bacillati; Bacillota; Erysipelotrichia; Erysipelotrichales; Erysipelotrichaceae. The record is from RNAcentral.
GUAGAGGCAAUGAAAAGAAGAAGUAGUCGUGGAUGCUGCUGAUAGUGAGUUCCUGAUGGUGGAAAUGGAACAGUAAGCACAGGGUGAACGUGUCUUAGAGCUAAGCUUUCGAAGAUUGAGGAAGCUUCGGAUACUCCCGUUAUGAGUUAAGGGCCUGUACUUUUGUGCAGGAAAUAAGGUGGUACCGCGAUUUUAUAGUCGUCCUUGUA